Molecule: ribosomal RNA, 465 nt
Filed under: uncultured bacterium
Lineage: Bacteria
Description: partial 16S ribosomal RNA
Rfam family: Bacterial small subunit ribosomal RNA
Source: RNAcentral
GACGAACGCUGGCGGCGUGCUUAACACAUGCAAGUCGAACGGAAAGGCCCUGCUUGCAGGGUACUCGAGUGGCGAACGGGUGAGUAACACGUGGGUGAUCUGCCCUGCACUUCGGGAUAAGCCUGGGAAACUGGGUCUAAUACCGGAUAGGAGCCAUUUUUAGUGUGAUGGUUGGAAAGUUUUUUCGGUGUAGGAUGAGCUCGCGGCCUAUCAGCUUGUUGGUGGGGUAAUGGCCUACCAAGGCGGCGACGGGUAGCCGGCCUGAGAGGGUGGACGGCCACAUUGGGACUGAGAGACGGCCCAGACUCCUACGGGAGGCAGCAGGGGGGAAGAUUGCACAAUGGGCGCAAGCCUGAUGCAGCGACGCCGCGUGGGGGAUGACGGCCUUCGGGUUGUAAACUCCUUUCGCUAGGGACGAAGCUUUUUGUGACGGUACCUAGAGAAGAAGCACCGGCUAACUACGUG